Non-coding RNA from Mycena rebaudengoi, 94 nucleotides. The record is from the annotation of a GenBank genome assembly. Lineage: Eukaryota; Fungi; Basidiomycota; Agaricomycetes; Agaricales; Mycenaceae.
GCACUCGUGGGUGAAUUGGCACAUCACUCACCAUAAAUAUCAAGCUUAUUGUAAAGGCUUCGAUGUGAAGGGGGUUCGAAUCCCUCCGAGGGCA